RNAcentral lists this ribosomal RNA (465 nucleotides) under Vreelandella stevensii. RNAcentral's name for it is "partial 16S ribosomal RNA". It matches the Rfam family "Bacterial small subunit ribosomal RNA", at positions 338 to 795 of the family's 1533-position model. The record is from RNAcentral. Lineage: Bacteria; Pseudomonadati; Pseudomonadota; Gammaproteobacteria; Oceanospirillales; Halomonadaceae.
CCUACGGGAUGCAGCAGUGGGGAAUAUUGGACAAUGGGCGAAAGCCUGAUCCAGCCAUGCCGCGUGUGUGAAGAAGGCCUUCGGGUUGUAAAGCACUUUCAGUGGGGAAGAAAGCCUUGGGGCUAAUACCCUCGAGGAAGGACAUCACCCACAGAAGAAGCACCGGCUAACUCCGUGCCAGCAGCCGCGGUAAUACGGAGGGUGCGAGCGUUAAUCGGAAUUACUGGGCGUAAAGCGCGCGUAGGCGGUCUGAUAAGCCGGUUGUGAAAGCCCCGGGCUCAACCUGGGAACGGCAUCCGGAACUGUCAGGCUAGAGUGCAGGAGAGGAAGGUAGAAUUCCCGGUGUAGCGGUGAAAUGCGUAGAGAUCGGGAGGAAUACCAGCGGCGAAGGCGGCCUUCUGGACUGACACUGACGCUGAGGUGCGAAAGCGUGGGUAGCAAACAGGAUUAGAUACCCGGGUAGUC